GGUCAGGCUGAAGACCUUACCCGAUUAGCUGAGAGGUGGUGCAUGGCCGUCGUCAGUUCGUACUGUGAAGCAUCCUGUUAAGUCAGGCAACGAGCGAGACCCACGUCCACAGUUGCCAGCAUACCCCUCCGGGGUGAUGGGUACACUGUGGAGACCGCCGCUGCUAAAGCGGAGGAAGGAGUGGGCAACGGUAGGUCAGUAUGCCCCGAAUCUCCCGGGCUACACGCGGGCUACAAUGGUUGGUACAAUGGGCAUCUACCCCGAAAGGGGAAGGAAAUCUCUUAAAGCCAAUCGUAGUUCGGAUUGAGGGCUGCAACUCGCCCUCAUGAAGCUGGAAUCCGUAGUAAUCGCGUUUCAACAGAACGCGGUGAAUACGUCCCUGCUCCUU
This 388-nucleotide ribosomal RNA is filed under the name uncultured Methanosaeta sp. RNAcentral describes it as "bacterial SSU rRNA". It matches the Rfam family "Archaeal small subunit ribosomal RNA", at positions 952 to 1338 of the family's 1478-position model. The record is from RNAcentral. Lineage: Archaea; Methanobacteriati; Methanobacteriota; Methanomicrobia; Methanotrichales; Methanotrichaceae.